Homo sapiens (human) is the source of this 1892-nucleotide long non-coding RNA. RefSeq lists it as uncharacterized. Lineage: Eukaryota; Metazoa; Chordata; Mammalia; Primates; Hominidae. The transcript has 2 exons. The record is from RefSeq and is a predicted model, not a curated record.
AUUGCAACAGAUAUGGGCCAGCCGGGGCAGAAGGCAGGAGGUGGGGCAGAAAGGAGGGCAGGAAGGAGGUGCUGUAUCAACUGGGCAAUGGCUAUUUUCAAGGGUAGCUGGAGUCCUAAGAUAAUAGAAUUCCGUAGCCCCAUAUAAUUUUAGAAUCUUCAUCUUACAUAGGCAAAUGAGGCUCAGAGAGGGAAAGUGACUGUGAAGGUCACACAGCCAGUUAGUGGCAGAGCAACUCACACGUCCUGAUUCCUUGAACAGUAUUAUUUUCUGCUGCCCCAAGCCAAGGCCAGUGGCAGACCCUGUCUCAGGGCUUCCUGAUUUUGGGCAGCUCUGCUUUUCAGAGGACUUCUCUGGACAGGCACCCAGUGUCCAAAGAGAACCCAGGGUCAGGCAGCACAAUCCCAGGGGCUUCUCUGCAGCUGCUCUCCUCCCAGCACACAGGGAGAUACCAGCCACCGUCCCGGAGCCAUUCGGCCUGGGUCUGAAGCCCAGCAACCCGAGCUCAUUCUGAUGAAGCAAGCUGCCACGCUGUGAGCUGCACUAUGGAAAGGCCCAUGCUGCAUGGCACUGAGGAGGCUCCAGCCAGCAGCCGAUGAGGAGCUGGAUCCUGCCAGCCGCCACGUGAGUGAGCUGGGAAGCAGAUCCAACCCCAUAUCAGCACUGAGAUGGUCACAGCCCCACGGACAGCCUGCUUGCAGCCUUGUGAGGGACCUUGAGCCUGAGGACCCAGCUAAGCCACACCCAGCUUCUCAACCCAGAGAAACAGUGAGAUGAUAAACUGAGCUGGCUUUUAAGCCACUAAGUUUUGGGGUAAUUUGUGACACCGUAAUGGAUAAUUAGUACAGCCAGUAACAUAGGCAGAUAUGAGACAGUGCAAAAUAUUUUAGAUUUUAGUGGUUAUCCUUUGGGUUUUAGAGUUCUCCAGGUAGGUUCUCAACCUGGUACCCACAUGUAAUCCAUCUGAGCUUCUGGUUCUGAACCUUCCUGAUGCGUAAAAUCUAUGUAUCAUCUGAAGUUGGAUGAAAACCGAUGUUGCUUUAUUAACAUCGAGGUGGUAGGUGGGCAAUGGGAGGUUGAAAACGUCGGGGACUAACCUCAACUGACAACCUAUUGGACUCUGGCCCUUGCAGGAUAUUUUGCUGAGCGUUCAAGUAUCUCACUGAUCCUUAAGGGUAUCCAUGAAUCCUGAGAUGUGCAGUUAAGUAACUCACCCAGGAAUAGCCAGCCAGCCAGAGGUGUGGCCAGGACCUUCCUGCAGCUCUGCCUCUGAGACCACCUGUAUGCCACAGGGUUCUGACCUUACUCUCACCAGUGGCCCUUUCCAGAAACAGCUGGUCCACUGAGUGAGGACUGACGGUGGAGAAGGCAGAAAACCUGAGAUACUUUAUUGUUCCUGGGGAAAUAUGCCCAGGAAACCUUUCCAGGGAAGUUGAAGAAGCUGCAUGUUGGCUAUGGCAGAGGUGACAUUCUGCCAUUGCUCUCUACUAACAGAACCCCUAUUAUUACUGGGAGCGUCUACCUGCCCCAUAAAUUUCCCAGCCCCUCUUGCCAUAGAGGGUACCCAAUAAGAUGUAAGUUGAAGUCAUUGGGAGAAGCUUCCGGUAAAGAUUUUUUAAAGUGCUGACUCAUCUGAGAGGUGCCUCCUCUUGCACUGCUUGCCCCUUCUUGGUGCCAGGAAUGUGGACAUAAUGGCUGGAGCUGCAGUAGCGUUUCAUGACCAUGCAGUGACCUUGACAGAGGAAGCCACUCUCUAAGGGUAGCAGAGCACAAAGAUAGAGCCUUGUCUUCUUGGAAGGGAUGACUGAGGAGCCAUCAUUCUAGCCUUUGACUUUUUGCAUCAGGAUUUAUUUUAUAUGAGAGAAAAGAAAGUAAACUCUUUUGUUGUUUAA